GGCAUUGUAGCUCAGCUGGUAGAGUAUUCGCGGUAUUAAAGCGAGGGUGGUGACCAUGCGCGGGUUCGAAUCCCGCCGGGGCCA
This 84-nucleotide transfer RNA is filed under the name Fasciola hepatica (liver fluke). It matches the Rfam family "tRNA". Rfam says of the family: Transfer RNA (tRNA) molecules are approximately 80 nucleotides in length. Their secondary structure includes four short double-helical elements and three loops (D, anti-codon, and T loops). Lineage: Eukaryota; Metazoa; Platyhelminthes; Trematoda; Plagiorchiida; Fasciolidae. The record is from Rfam by way of RNAcentral.